Long non-coding RNA from Cyprinus carpio carpio, 773 nucleotides. The record is from Ensembl. NCBI's taxonomy places the organism in Eukaryota, Metazoa, Chordata, Actinopteri, Cypriniformes, Cyprinidae.
UGUAUUUUUAAUCAAAUAAAUGUAACCUUGAUGAGCAUAAGACACUCUUGUAAAAAACAUAAAAAAAUCGUUCUGAUACCAAACAUUUGACCGGUAGUGUAUAUAUACAUAAAAGGUGCGAGGUGACACUGGCUGUAGUACCGCAGAUCUCGCCACAUGGGUGCGCUGUUGUACUUUCUGCCGCGCCACAGUACAUUCUCUCUCUGCUCUCUCUCUGCUCUGCUCUUGUUUAGUGUGUGCCACACGCCCUCACAGUUUCUGUCACACACUCAGACAACGUGAGUUCAGAAUCCGGUUGUCUUAAGUUAAACGCACUAAGAAACACCUGAACGAACAGAGACGGGCUGCUGUCCGGUAUCUGACUCGGGUCUCACUCUGAGCACAUCAUUGGUUCCGGUGACAUCCGUUACCAUACCGCACUGAUGACAUCUUAUUUAAUCACGCAGCAGACGACAAGACAAGAAACCUGUGCUAUCAGAAAAUAAGAAACCAGAAAUGUCUUCUCACCACGAAGAUGUCCAAGCAAGCAGCUAGCCAGGGUUUAGAGGACCAUGGGGAAUGUGAGUCUGCAGAUAAAACGACGGGGAACAGAGUCCGAAACAUGAGAUGGCAGGCCCACGUGGCAAUGUGGUGGAGAGAAAAAAAAAGGCGAGUGUUUGUGCACUUUAACAUCUGAAAUUAAUGGAUGAAGAAUAGCCUUGUUAGAAUGAUGUAGGGUGGGAUGUGUUAGAUGUGGGUGUUGAUGACAAGCUGUUAAAGAUGCCUUAUGAGAG